CCCAGACCGUGUUCCUCUGCUUGGUGGACGCCGAAAUGCUCAUCCACGUUCAGGGCUGCAGUGCAUUGAUCAUCAUGCUCCCAGCUCCUGUUGUGUUUAUGCAAGCAGAGAAGAUCCACCGCGCACCGUGAGGAUACAGCCUUGAUGUCAUUUCAGCCUGCCACGCUGACACUGUGGUUGAUGCCCUGCUGAGCAGGAGUCGUGCCAAGGUAGUAACCCCCAACAGAAUGCGUCAACUCCACCUCAUUUCCAACCAACUAGACGUGGAAAUAAAGAUGUUUUACUUUUGUUAACGAAGUAAAAGAAGAAUGUCGUUCCAUAAUCGUUCAGUUAGUGGUUAAAUCUGAAAAUGUCACACCUAUUGUUUGAACAGAGAACGUUUGCAUGAGGAUAAUCACAUCUGUUUCUCUGUGGUCAUUUCCAGAUGUCUCCCAAAAAUAGUAUUUGCUUUGUGUUGUUAGAUUGUCGCUUGUCUCUCUGCUGAAAGCAAACAUCCACCUUCCUGAGUCCAUCUCAGCUGUCUGCUUGUUCAUGUAUGUUUUAUUGAUAGAUAGACCCCAUGAAUGGAUCAUAUAAAACAGAUCCCAAAUAGGAUCAAACAAACACUGAAUAAAGUUCAGAAACCCUUCUU
Long non-coding RNA from Girardinichthys multiradiatus, 631 nucleotides. RefSeq lists it as uncharacterized. NCBI's taxonomy places the organism in Eukaryota, Metazoa, Chordata, Actinopteri, Cyprinodontiformes, Goodeidae. The record is from RefSeq and is a predicted model, not a curated record. The transcript has 3 exons.